Non-coding RNA from Pelobates cultripes (western spadefoot toad), 487 nucleotides. The record is from the annotation of a GenBank genome assembly. Lineage: Eukaryota; Metazoa; Chordata; Amphibia; Anura; Pelobatidae.
AGGAAGUGGAGCAGGGCAGUACAGGUAAUUGACAGGCAGCAGGACAGACAGAAGUGGGAGUUCUGUAGGCUCACUGCAGUGGCCCAACACCUCCACCAUGCCACAACCAACCGACAGAAGAGCCCUGGUAAAUGGCAACCAGAAGUAUGAGGCAACAUUCCACAGUCCACCAUCAAAGUAUUAAAAAGUGUAAAAUGGCCAGCAUGCAGUGAGUAGCAGUGAAUGUGUGUGUGCCACUGAGCUUGUUUGUAGCGAGUUUAUGUAUGUCAGUAAGCAUGUGGCUGUAUGUGUGCAUCAAUAAAUUUGUCUGUAGUGAGCUUGUAUGUGUUUGUGUGUUUCAGUGAGCUUGAACAUGUAGUGAGCUUGUGUUUGAGUGUCAGUGAGCUUGUUUGUAGUGAGCUAGUGUGUGUGCAAAAGUGAGCUUUUCUGUGAAGUUGUGUGUAGUGAACAUGUGAAUGCCAAGUGUCACAGCUUGAGUGUAUGUUUG